Molecule: small nuclear RNA, 18 nt
Filed under: Arabidopsis thaliana (thale cress)
Lineage: Eukaryota; Viridiplantae; Streptophyta; Magnoliopsida; Brassicales; Brassicaceae
Description: snRNA_11198
Source: RNAcentral
GGGGGCCGGCGAUGCGUC